CUACUAGAAGGUUCGAUUAGUCUUUCGCCCCCAUGCCCAUAUUUGACGAUCGAUUUGCACGUCAGAACCGCUGCGAGCCUCCACCAGAGUUUCCUCUGGCUUCACCCUAUACAGGCAUAGNUCACCUUCUUUCGGGUCCGGCCCCGUAUGCUCUUACUCAAAUCCAUCCGAGAACAUCAGGAUCGGUCGAUGAUGCGCCGAAGCUCUCACCUGCGUUCACUUUCAUUACGCGUAGGGGUUUGACACCCGAACACUCGCAUACGAAGACGACUCCUUGGUCCGUGUUUCAAGACGGGUCGCUGGUGACCAUUACGCCAGCAUCCUUGCAGAUGCGCGGUCCUCAGUCCACCGCAGGGUAUUAUGCAACGGGCUAUAACACUCCCAGGGGAGCCACGUUCCCGAAGCCUUUUUCCCCCGCGACGAACUGAUGCUGGCCUGGACACGGCGAAGUGCACCGGGGAGAACCCCGGAUGAUCCGCCGCGCCCAAGUCUGGUCACAAGCGCUUCCCUUUCAACAAUUUCACGUACUAUUUAACCCUCUUUUCAAGGUGCUUUUCAUCUUUCGAUCACUCUACUUGUGCGCUAUCGGUCUCUGGCCAAUAUUUAGCUUUAGAAGACAUAUACCUCCCAUUUUGAGCAGCAUUCCCAAACUACUCGACUCGUCGAAGGAGCUUUACAGAGGCUCGGUGGCCAGCCAGACGGGGCUCUCACCCUCUGUGGCGUCCCGUUCCAGGGAACUCGGGCGGCACCUUGCCAAAANCAUCCUCUACAAAUUACAACUCGGACCCAAAAGGGCCGAGUUNCAAAUUUGAGCUGUUGCGCUUCACUCGCCGUUAUCGGGGCAAUCCCUGUUGGUUUCUUUUCCUCCGCUUAUUGAU
RNAcentral lists this ribosomal RNA (878 nucleotides) under Trichoderma citrinoviride. RNAcentral describes it as "partial large subunit ribosomal RNA". Lineage: Eukaryota; Fungi; Ascomycota; Sordariomycetes; Hypocreales; Hypocreaceae. The record is from RNAcentral.